AUUUGACGUUACCUACAGAAGAAGCACCGGCUAACUCCGUGCCAGCAGCCGCGGUAAUACGGAGGGUGCGAGCGUUAAUCGGAAUUACUGGGCGUAAAGCGCAUGCAGGCGGCCUGUUAAGUCAGAUGUGAAAGACCCGGGGCGUUAACCUCGGAAUUGCAUUUGAAACUGGCAGGCUAGAGUCUUGUAGAGGGGGGUAGGAAGUUUCAGGUGUAGCGGUGAAAUAGCGUAGAGAUCUGAAGGAAUACCAGUGGCGAAGGCGGCCCCCUCGGACAAAGACUGACGCUCAGAUGCGAAAGCGUGGGGAGCAAACAGGAUUAGAUACCCCUGGUAG
Molecule: ribosomal RNA, 334 nt
Filed under: uncultured bacterium
Lineage: Bacteria
Description: bacterial SSU rRNA
Rfam family: Bacterial small subunit ribosomal RNA
Source: RNAcentral